This 215-nucleotide unclassified non-coding RNA is filed under the name plant metagenome. Its description in RNAcentral is "partial contains small subunit ribosomal RNA and internal transcribed spacer 1". The stretch from base 1 to 46 matches the Rfam family "Eukaryotic small subunit ribosomal RNA", at positions 1786 to 1831 of the family's 1831-position model. The record is from RNAcentral.
AAGUCGUAACAAGGUUUCCGUAGGUGAACCUGCGGAAGGAUCAUUACAGAGUUCAUGCCCUCCGGGGUAGACCUCCACCCUUGCAUACCUUACCUUUGUUGCUUUGGCGGUCCGCUUCACCUCGUAUGAGGCCACCGGUCUCGACUGGUGCGUGACCGCCAAAGGAUACCCAACUCUUGAAUAUACGUCGUCUGAGUACUAUAUAAUAGUUAAAA